UCUGGAUUCACAAGACGUUGCGCCUCGUCUUGUAUUCCCGGAGUCUCCCUCAGCAGAACCCUUUGCCUCAGCAGUAACCUCUGCCCCGGCAUAACCCUCUGCUAUAGCAGUACCCUCUGCUAUAGUAGAACCCUCUGCUUUCUGACUCCAAAACCCAUACCUAGACCUGGCAGCAUGGUUAUAAAGAGUGCUUGACUCUUCACCAAGAUUCUGUUUUACCGGCCACGUCGCAUUUGGUUCCAAAUGCACAACCGUUGCCCUAUUUGAAACUUCCUUAUUUUUCGCUUGGUCAAUGGCCACUUUCGUUGAUGGUGAUAGACCUCCUGACAAUGGCCUUUUGUCAGUAUGAUGUAUACCAUCCUUUUCGUAUCUAUCUGUAUUCUCUUGUGAGGGCCAUUGAUCUUGGUUCACUCUUAUGCUUAUCUCUCCGGUCGGCGUCAGAUCAUGGAAAGUUUCACAGGACCGAGAUCGGGGGAGUACUGGUCUACCCUGGGCAGUUAACCUAGGUGUUUCAAAUUUAUUUUCCGCGCUAUCCAUUUUACUUAUUUUAUUUAUGCCUUAUCUUAAAUUAUUAUUAAACUUAUUGUAAGAAUAUAAAAAUGUAGGUACGUGCCUCCGCUGCCACCACUGUAACGAUAACCGAGCGGUCAGGCUUUGGUGUUAACUAUAAAUAUUGGAACCCUUAGUGUGUUGCUAUAAGAAUGGAAUAUAUGAACUAAAGUUAUAACUGGCGACUCUUCUUUGGUAACGUGGUUCUCUGGUAUCGUGGUAUUCGGGUAGAUCUACAGUUGGUUCUGUAUAGGUUUUGUGGUACGUUGUGGUAUUCUGAUAGAUCUUAGUUUGGUUCCGUUUAGGUUUUUGUAAGAAUAACAGACUCGUCGAAUAAAAAUCAACUUGUAUUUUAUACGUGCAAUAAAUAUCAGCAAUUCGUAGACAUAAUAAAUAACUUAAGUAACAGUAUUCUAG
RNAcentral lists this long non-coding RNA (966 nucleotides) under Mytilus galloprovincialis (Mediterranean mussel). Lineage: Eukaryota; Metazoa; Mollusca; Bivalvia; Mytilida; Mytilidae. The record is from RNAcentral.